UGCAAUUAUGAAAACUUGGAUUCGCACAAAAUAGUGUGAACAUACGACAAACUAAUCUGGCAAGCGAGAAGAAAUCGGUCAAACCAAACUCGCUUAACAGUUUCCUGUGAUAUCACACAAACGGUACCUUACCCUACAUUCGGCGAAAUAAAAUCCUACCCAUUGAUAUGAUGUAUCCUUCUACACUGGAAGUCACCCAAACCCCCAGCAGAUAAGUCUUGGGAGACUGAUCUAAUGUCAUUCCUUAAGCUGGAAAAGAUCAAAUUCUCACUUAGAGGGUCGACUGGGAAAUUCUACACUACAUGGCAGCCUCUCCUCUCAUAUUUUGAUAAUGUAGCUACGACUCCUACUACUUAGAAUUAAAGUACCAGUACCAGUUGUACUGUUGCAUACAGAUACUUUGAUUGAUUCGAUACAUUGAUAGAGAAAGGUGGACCAACUUGGGAUGGGAGCGUGGGUGGGUUUUUAAGUUUUGUAUAUGUUUCUUUCUUUCUUGUAUAUCUGUAU
Molecule: long non-coding RNA, 507 nt
Organism: Clupea harengus (Atlantic herring)
Lineage: Eukaryota; Metazoa; Chordata; Actinopteri; Clupeiformes; Clupeidae
Exons: 2
Source: RefSeq, a predicted model, not a curated record